Molecule: ribosomal RNA, 425 nt
Filed under: uncultured bacterium
Lineage: Bacteria
Description: partial 16S ribosomal RNA
Rfam family: Bacterial small subunit ribosomal RNA
Source: RNAcentral
GUGGGGAAUCUUAGACAAUGGGCGCAAGCCUGAUCUAGCCAUGCCGCGUGAGCGAUGAAGGCCUUAGGGUUGUAAAGCUCUUUCAGCUGGGAAGAUAAUGACGGUACCAGCAGAAGAAGCCCCGGCUAACUCCGUGCCAGCAGCCGCGGUAAUACGGAGGGGGCUAGCGUUGUUCGGAAUUACUGGGCGUAAAGCGCACGUAGGCGGAUCAGAAAGUCAGAGGUGAAAUCCCAGGGCUCAACCUUGGAACUGCCUUUGAAACUCCCAGUCUUGAGUUCGAGAGAGGUGAGUGGAAUUCCGAGUGUAGAGGUGAAAUUCGUAGAUAUUCGGAGGAACACCAGUGGCGAAGGCGGCUCACUGGCUCGAUACUGACGCUGAGGUGCGAAAGCGUGGGGAGCAAACAGGAUUAGAAACCCUGGUAGUCC